UGACACGCCGAGUGCCUAAGCAUGUUUACAAACGUUCGUUCCGUCUUCUUGUCUGUUUAUUUACUGGUGAUGAUGGGCUGCGUCUGGAUGGCAGCAGCAGAGCCGAUUUCGUGCUCUUGUAACGCUCCAGUAGGGGCAGCAUGCCGGCGACGAUGCCGACCGCGUGGUUGAAGAAAUCACCGGACACUACAUUGGACACUCUAAAGUGCCACGUAUAUUUUAUGUGAUUGCCAUAAGAAAAUAAAGAGUUUCUGUUCUUUACCAAUAA
This is a long non-coding RNA of Megalopta genalis, 268 nucleotides long. RefSeq lists it as uncharacterized. The record is from RefSeq and is a predicted model, not a curated record. Lineage: Eukaryota; Metazoa; Arthropoda; Insecta; Hymenoptera; Halictidae.